This 374-nucleotide ribosomal RNA is filed under the name uncultured organism. Its description in RNAcentral is "partial 16S ribosomal RNA". It matches the Rfam family "Bacterial small subunit ribosomal RNA", at positions 527 to 896 of the family's 1533-position model. The record is from RNAcentral.
GUAGGUGGCAAGCGUUGUCCGGAAUUAUUGGGCGUAAAGCGCGCGCAGGUGGUUCUUUAAGUCUGAUGUGAAAGCCCCCGGCUCAACCGGGGAGGGUCAUUGGAAACUGGGGAACUUGAGUGCAGGAGAGGAAAGUGGAAUUCCACGUGUAGCGGUGAAAUGCGUAGAUAUGUGGAGGAACACCAGUGGCGAAGGCGACUUUCUGGCCUGUAACUGACACUGAGGCGCGAAAGCGUGGGGAGCAAACAGGAUUAGAUACCCUGGUAGUCCACGCCGUAAACGAUGAGUGCUAAGUGUUGGGGGGGUUUCUCGCCCCCUCAGUGCUGCAGCUAACGCAUUAAGCACUCCGCCUGGGGAGUACGGUCGCAAGACUG